This 331-nucleotide long non-coding RNA is filed under the name Hordeum vulgare. Its description in RNAcentral is "long non-coding RNA (HVUL_LNC005276)". The record is from RNAcentral. Lineage: Eukaryota; Viridiplantae; Streptophyta; Magnoliopsida; Poales; Poaceae.
CUGAGCUGACUGUCCUCGGUGCCCCUUCAUUUCUGCAAGCCCGUCUUCAUCUACAGACAUAUCUAGAGCUGGCUGUUCUUGGUGAACCUCCAUCUCUGCAGGCUUGUCUUUGGCUUCAGUCAUGUCCUGAGCUGACCGGUCCUGGUGCUCCUUCAUCUCUGCAGGUUUGUCUUCAGCUUCAGUCAUGUCCAGAGCUGACUCUUCCAGGUGCUCCACUAUCUCCGCAGGUUUGUCUUCGGCUUCAGUCAUGUCCAGAGCUGACCGUUCCUGUUGCUCCUCCAUUUCUGCAGGCUCAUCUUUAGGUUCAGACAUGCCCUGAGCCGACUCUUCC